RNAcentral lists this microRNA (22 nucleotides) under Monodelphis domestica (gray short-tailed opossum). RNAcentral describes it as "mdo-miR-7330-3p". The record is from miRBase by way of RNAcentral. Lineage: Eukaryota; Metazoa; Chordata; Mammalia; Didelphimorphia; Didelphidae.
CUUAUGUGACUUUGGCCAAAUC